Molecule: small nuclear RNA, 107 nt
Organism: Otolemur garnettii (small-eared galago)
Lineage: Eukaryota; Metazoa; Chordata; Mammalia; Primates; Galagidae
Source: Ensembl
GUGCUUGCUUCGGCAGCACAUAUACUAAAAUUGGAACAAUACAGAGAAGAUUGGCAUGGUCCCUGCGUAAGGAUGAAACACAAAUUCGUGAAACGUUCCGUAUUAAA